RNAcentral lists this ribosomal RNA (253 nucleotides) under uncultured bacterium. RNAcentral describes it as "partial 16S ribosomal RNA". It matches the Rfam family "Bacterial small subunit ribosomal RNA", at positions 524 to 776 of the family's 1533-position model. The record is from RNAcentral.
UACGUAGGGGCCGAGCGUUGUCCGGAUUCAUUGGGCGUAAAGAGCGUGUAGGCGGCCGCUUAAGUCCUGCGUGAAAUCUCGGAGCUCAACUCCGAGCGGUCGUGGGAAACUGGGCGGCUAGAGUGCGGGAGAGGAGAGUGGAAUUCCUGGUGUAGCGGUGAAAUGCGCAGAUAUCAGGAAGAACACCCGUGGCGAAAGCGGCUCUCUGGAACGGUACUGACGCUGAGACGCGAAAGCGUGGGGAGCGAACAGG